UAGGGAAUCUUCGGCAAUGGACGAAAGUCUGACCGAGCAACGCCGCGUGAGUGAAGAAGGUUUUCGGAUCGUAAAACUCUGUUGUUAGAGAAGAACAAGGACGUUAGUAACUGAACGUCCCCUGACGGUAUCUAACCAGAAAGCCACGGCUAACUACGUGCCAGCAGCCGCGGUAAUACGUAGGUGGCAAGCGUUGUCCGGAUUUAUUGGGCGUAAAGCGAGCGCAGGCGGUUUCUUAAGUCUGAUGUGAAAGCCCCCGGCUCAACCGGGGAGGGUAAUUGGAAACUGGGAGACUUGAGUGCAGAAGAGGAGAGUGGAAUUCCAUGUGUAGCGGUGAAAUGCGUAGAUAUAUGGAGGAACACCAGUGGCGAAGGCGGCUCUCUGGUAUGUAACUGACGCUGAGGCUCGAAAGCGUGGGGAGCAAACAGG
Molecule: ribosomal RNA, 429 nt
Filed under: Gemmatimonadota bacterium
Lineage: Bacteria; Pseudomonadati; Gemmatimonadota
Description: Gemmatimonadetes bacterium partial 16S ribosomal RNA
Rfam family: Bacterial small subunit ribosomal RNA
Source: RNAcentral